CUUACGUCAGUCCACCUCUGGCUCUCGUUGGGAGAAGACGUGCGGUCGUUCGCUCCGUCGUCACUUGAUCCCUGGCUGUCGACGAGAGCAGUCGCAUCGGUCUGCGCUCCUACUGUGAGCUGUCCUAACUUGCCCAGACAUGCCGUGAUGACGUCACAGCUGACGUCACAGGAUGUCCGGAACUGGUGGUCAUAGCUGCGAUGCUUUGCAACCUGCCUCUGUGCUCCGUCGCCCAGCGACGGUCAGCGGCCUUUCCGGACCGCUUUCUUCAAGAUGGCGCCGUUGAUCUUCAAUUAAACUCCUUCUCUCCACUCUA
Long non-coding RNA from Ornithodoros turicata, 316 nucleotides. RefSeq lists it as uncharacterized. Lineage: Eukaryota; Metazoa; Arthropoda; Arachnida; Ixodida; Argasidae. The transcript is spliced from 2 exons. The record is from RefSeq and is a predicted model, not a curated record.